Molecule: non-coding RNA, 29 nt
Filed under: Mus musculus (house mouse)
Lineage: Eukaryota; Metazoa; Chordata; Mammalia; Rodentia; Muridae
Source: RNAcentral
UAAUGCUUCAAAGGAUGGUUAUCAUUUGA